UACGAAGGGGGCGAGCGUUGCUCGGAAUCACUGGGCGUAAAGGGCGCGUAGGCGGGGAGGUAAGUCGGGUGUGAAAUCCCUCGGCCCAACCGAGGAACUGCGCCCGAGACUGCUUCUCUUGAGUCCCGGAGAGGAAGAUGGAAUUCCCGGUGUAGCGGUGAAAUGUGUAGAGAUCGGGAGGAACACCGGUGGCGAAGGCGGUCUUCUGGACGGUGACUGACGCUGAGGCGCGAAAGCGUGGGGAGCAAACGGG
Molecule: ribosomal RNA, 253 nt
Filed under: uncultured bacterium
Lineage: Bacteria
Description: partial 16S ribosomal RNA
Rfam family: Bacterial small subunit ribosomal RNA
Source: RNAcentral